GGGGAAUAUUGGACAAUGGGCGCAAGCCUGAUCCAGCCAUGCCGCGUGGGUGAAGAAGGCCUUCGGGUUGUAAAGCCCUUUUGUUGGGAAAGAAAAGCAGCCGGCCAAUACCCGGUUGUUCUGACGGUACACAAAGAAUAAGCACCGGCUAACUUCGUGCCAGCAGCCGCGGUAAUACGGAGGAUCCGAGCGUUAUCCGGAUUUAUUGGGUUUAAAGGGUGCGCAGGUGGUUUGAUAAGUCAGCGGUGAAAGUUUGCAGCUUAACUGUAAAAAUGCCGUUGAAACUGUCGGACUUGAGUGUAAAUGAGGUAGGCGGAAUGUGUGGUGUAGCGGUGAAAUGCAUAGAUAUCACGCAGAACUCCGAUUGCGAAGGCAGCUUACUAAGCUACAACUGACACUGAAGCACGAAAGCGUGGGGAUCAAACA
This 426-nucleotide ribosomal RNA is filed under the name uncultured Bacteroidota bacterium. RNAcentral's name for it is "bacterial SSU rRNA". It matches the Rfam family "Bacterial small subunit ribosomal RNA", at positions 356 to 774 of the family's 1533-position model. The record is from RNAcentral. Lineage: Bacteria; Pseudomonadati; Bacteroidota.